CCUACGGGAGGCAGCAGUGAGGAAUAUUGGUCAAUGGGCGGGAGCCUGAACCAGCCAAGUCGCGUGAGGGAAGAAGGUACUGAGUAUUGUAAACCUCUUUUGCCAGGGGACAAAGGCGGCCACGGGUGGCCGUAAGAGGGUACCUGGAGAAAAAGCAUCGGCUAACUCCGUGCCAGCAGCCGCGGUAAUACGGAGGAUGAGAGCGUUAUCCGGAUUUAUUGGGUUAAAGGGGUGCGCAGGGUGCGUGUCAAGUGAGCGGAAAAAUGUCGGGGCUCAACCCCGGCCGGCCGUUGAAACUGGGGGGCUCGAGUUGGAGAGAAGUAUGUGGAAUUCGUGGUGUAGCGGUGAAAUGCGUAGAUAUCAGGAAGAACCCCGAUUGCGAAGGCAGCAAACCGGCUCCACACUGACGCUGAGGCACGAAAGCGUGGGUAUCGAACAGGAUUAGAUACCCGGGUAGUC
RNAcentral lists this ribosomal RNA (459 nucleotides) under uncultured bacterium. RNAcentral's name for it is "partial 16S ribosomal RNA". It matches the Rfam family "Bacterial small subunit ribosomal RNA", at positions 338 to 795 of the family's 1533-position model. The record is from RNAcentral.